RNAcentral lists this ribosomal RNA (483 nucleotides) under uncultured Desulfofustis sp. RNAcentral's name for it is "bacterial SSU rRNA". It matches the Rfam family "Bacterial small subunit ribosomal RNA", at positions 8 to 491 of the family's 1533-position model. The record is from RNAcentral. Lineage: Bacteria; Pseudomonadati; Thermodesulfobacteriota; Desulfobulbia; Desulfobulbales; Desulfocapsaceae.
AGAGUUUGAUCAUGGCUCAGAAUGAACGCUGGCGGCGUGCCUAACACAUGCAAGUCGAGCGAGAAAGCUCCUUCGGGAGUUAGUAAAGCGGCGGACGGGUGAGUAACGCGUAAGAAUCUGCCCUUUGGUGAGGAAUACCCUCGAGAAAUCGGGGUUAAUACUGCAUAAGUCCCUACGGGGAGAAAGGUGGCCUCUUGCUACCGCCGAAGGAUGAGCUUGCGUACUAUUAGCUAGUUGGUAGGGUAAAGGCCUACCAAGGCGAUGAUGGUUAGCCGGCCUGAGAGGGUGUACGGCCACACUGGAACUUAGACACGGUCCAGACUCCUACGGGAGGCAGCAGUGGGGAAUAUUGCGCAAUGGGCGAAAGCCUGACGCAGCGACGCCGCGUGGAGGAUGAAGGCCUUAGGGUCGUAAACUUCUGUUAAGUGGGAAGAAAAUCCUGUCAAUAAUACGGACAGGCUAUGACGGUACCAUAGAGAAAGC